UAUAAGCUGCUGAUUGGAUGCGUAAAGGAUUGCAGCGGCAUCCUUUUGUCUCACGAAGUGAGCAAAAGAUACAGCGGAAAGCCUGGCCUGCU
Molecule: non-coding RNA, 92 nt
Organism: Flavobacterium sp. 40-81
Lineage: Bacteria; Pseudomonadati; Bacteroidota; Flavobacteriia; Flavobacteriales; Flavobacteriaceae
Source: Rfam